CCUGUCAGGUGCAGCAGGUGUCACCUAGUCCACCUCCUCAGGGACCAAGGGCCACCAAGUCCACUCCACGCUCCACGGCCACAUCUAGAGCCACAUCUGCCACAUAGUGGGAACGAAGCACAACGGAAACCAAGGGACAAGACACUGUCUGGAGCCCAGCCAAUUCUGAACUUCACUACUCCCUACUGCUCGUUCAUGACAAGACCAGCAACACAAUACCAUCGUCCACAAACCCUCCAGGGUGAAGGAAAGGGCAGCCAUCACCUUGACUGUCAGCCCCAGAGCUUUCAGCUAUGGAAUCUGUCCACACAACUGUCCUUUGAAGAUUCCCGGAUGUGAAAGUCAGAGCCAGACACUUGCCUACAGAUGGAAACGUGGACUGCCUGGUCUAGUUGCAGCCUGGGAAAACUCACUGAUCCUCUCCGCUACUCACAAUCCCGUUUUGCAGAUGAGAAAGCAGAGGUAAAUACUUUGCCCAAGGC
This 482-nucleotide long non-coding RNA is filed under the name Fukomys damarensis (Damara mole-rat). RNAcentral's name for it is "lncRNA (ENSFDAG00000025077.1)". Lineage: Eukaryota; Metazoa; Chordata; Mammalia; Rodentia; Bathyergidae. The record is from RNAcentral.